AAGCCUCGGGAAGCCGCUAAACAGGCUUUGAUCCGGGGAUUUCCGAAUGGGGGAACCCACCCCGAGUAAUGUCGGGGUAUCCAUGACUGAAUACAUAGGUCAUGGAGGCGAACGCAGGGAACUGAAACAUCUAAGUACCUGCAGGAAAAGAAAUCAACCGAGAUUCCGCUAGUAGCGGCGAGCGAACGCGGACCAGCCUAAACCAUGGUGAUUCGUCGCCAUGGGGUUGCGGGGCCCCAACGUGGGAUUGUGAAUGGAUAGCAGAACGAUCUGGAAAGGUCGGCCGAAGAGGGUGAUAGCCCCGUAAGCGAAAUCUUGAAGCACCCUAGGGAGUCCCCAAGUACCACGGGACACGUGAAAUCCUGUGGGAAUCUGGGAGGACCAUCUUCCAAGGCUAAAUACUACUCAGCGACCGAUAGUGAACCAGUACCGUGAGGGAAAGGUGAAAAGUACCCCUGUGAGGGGAGUGAAAUAGUACCUGAAACCGUUUGCCUACAAGCUGUGGGAGGACGGUGGUCGGCCUCAAAGGCUAGUCCCUUUGGCCGGUCUGUCUGACCGCGUGCCUUUUGCAUAAUGAGUCAGUGAGUUACUUUACGUGGCAAGGUUAAGCCGUUAGGUGUAGCCGUAGCGAAAGCGAGUCUGAAUAGGGCGACGAGUUGCGUGGAGUAGACCCGAAGCCAGGUGAUCUAUCCAUGGCCAGGGUGAAGUCUCGGUAACACGAGAUGGAGGCCCGAACCCACUAAGGUUGAAAACUUAGGGGAUGAGCUGUGGAUCGGAGUGAAAGGCUAAUCAAAACUGGAGAUAGCUGGUUCUCCCCGAAAUGCAUUUAGGUGCAGCCUUGCAGGAUGAAUAACGGAGGUAGAGCACUGGAUGGGCUAGGGGUCCCACCAGAUUACCAAACCCAACCAAACUCCGAAUGCCGUUAUAUCUACUGCGGGAGUCAGACUGCGGGAGAUAAGUUCCGUGGUCGAAAGGGAAACAGCCCAGACCGCCAGCUAAGGUCCCUAAAUAUGUGCUAAGUGGGAAAGGAUGUGGAAGCGCUCAGACAACCAGGAGGUUGGCUUAGAAGCAGCCAUCCUUUAAAGAAAGCGUAACAGCUCACUGGUCAAGUGAGUCUGCGCCGAAAAUUCAACGGGGCUCAAGCACAUUACCGAAGCUGCGGGUUUCGUUUGUUCUUCGGAGCGAGCGGAGCGGUAGGGGAGCGUUGUAGUAACCGCUGAAGGCACACCGUAAGGAGUGCUGGAGGACCUACAAGAGCCUAUGCUGACAUGAGUAGCGAUAAUGCGGGUGAAAAACCCGCACGCCGUAAGCCUAAGGUUUCCUGAGUAAAGCUAAUCUUCUCAGGGUUAGUCGGUCCCUAAGCCGAGGCCGAAAGGCGUAGGUGAUGGAAAACAGGUUAAUAUUCCUGUACCACCAAACAGGCAUUUGAGUGAUGGGGGGACGUAGAAGGGUAGGCCAUCCGGGUGAUGGACGUCCCGGUUCAAGCCGGUAGGUGGAGGCUCUAGGCAAAUCCGGAGCCUCUUUAACGCCGAGAAGCGAUGAGGAGGGAUUUAUCCCAUAAACUGGCUAAGCCCACGCUACCAAGAAAAGCCUCUAGCGAGUCUGCUUGGUGACCGUACCGCAAACCGACACAGGUAGGCAGGGAGAGUAUCCCAAGGCGCUUGAGAGAACCCUGGUUAAGGAACUCGGCAAAAUGACACCGUAACUUCGGGAGAAGGUGUGCCCCCAUUAGGUGAAAUAACUUGCUUGUGGAGCCGAAGGGGGUUGCAGAGAAAAGGGGGUAGCGACUGUUUACUAAAAACACAGGACUCUGCUAAGUCGUAAGACGAUGUAUAGGGUCUGACGCCUGCCCGGUGCUGGAAGGUUAAGGGGAUGCGUUAUCCCGACUUGUCGGGAGAAGCGUUGAACCGAAGCCCCAGUAAACGGCGGCCGUAACUAUAACGGUCCUAAGGUAGCGAAAUUCCCGCUGUCUCAACCAGGGACUCAGCGAAAUUGAAUUCUCGGUGAAGAUGCCGGGUACCCGCGGCAAGACGGAAAGACCCCGUGCACCUUUACUACAGCUUGGCAUUGGAUUUUGGGCUAGUAUGUGUAGGAUAGGUGGGAGACGUUGAAAUGGGGACGCUAGUUUCCAUGGAGUCAACCUUGAAAUACCACCCUUGCUAUUCUAGGAGUCUAACCUUGACCCGUUAUCCGGGUUAGGGACAGUGCCUGGUGGGUAGUUUGACUGGGGCGGUCGCCUCCUAAAGAGUAACGGAGGCGCGCGAAGG
RNAcentral lists this ribosomal RNA (2267 nucleotides) under Gammaproteobacteria bacterium. RNAcentral's name for it is "partial 23S ribosomal RNA". It matches the Rfam family "Bacterial large subunit ribosomal RNA", at positions 73 to 2316 of the family's 2925-position model. The record is from RNAcentral. Lineage: Bacteria; Pseudomonadati; Pseudomonadota; Gammaproteobacteria.